UCCAGUUCCCAAACUUUUCUCAAUUGCUCCUCUUAUAAAAUAUAAUUUAGUUUUGAUUUUUUAAAAUUCGAAAAAGUAGACAAAGACUUCUUAAACCUUCAAAAUAUCACAUAUUUACGACCCAACCAAGCUACUUGGGUUAAAAAAUACCCAAACCCUUUCUUAUUGGGUCGAUUCCAAUUUAAACGGAUAAAAACACUUAGAUUCGAGAUCGACAGACAAAACAAAACUCAUUUAUCCUCUUUCAUCUUCUCCACCGCGAAACCAAAGAUCCCGACAAACAUCUGGGAUUCUUCUUCCUCCUUCCAUUCCGACAUUUUCAUCAUCCUCUGUCCGAAAGAGGUCCAAAUCCAAGAUGGCACGCACAAAGAACCGAAAUAACACAAUUUUUAUCUCCCAAUUUGGGUACAACUUAGUACAACUUGUAUGUACAAUUCUGAAUUUUUGUAUGUUGAAAUCAGUUUUCCAUUUUCGAUUAUGUGUAGAAUUCCAUUGAAUUUUGGAAGUUGUUUUGUAAAACUCGUGUCAAUUUUGUAGAAUUUAUGUCGAUUUUGUAAAUUUCGUAUCGACGCGUCUAAUUGAUUCUAAAGAACCCGAUAAA
This is a long non-coding RNA of Arabidopsis lyrata subsp. lyrata, 601 nucleotides long. RefSeq lists it as uncharacterized. The record is from RefSeq and is a predicted model, not a curated record. The transcript has 2 exons. Lineage: Eukaryota; Viridiplantae; Streptophyta; Magnoliopsida; Brassicales; Brassicaceae.